CUCGGCAUUUGUAAUCUUCUGGGUAAUUCAUAGUUUCCUCUAGUAUUUCAAUAUCUGGUAACAUUUGAUAAAACUGCUCAAACGCUGCUCUAUCCUUUCCCCGAUUCGCGAACUCCAUCCAUAGUUCUAUAAAAGGCUUAGUAGGCCUAUCGGUGAUCGAAUUUUCUCCUGAUUUCAUAAAGCCAUUCCAGUAAGAUAAAUUGCAUUUAUCCUCUUUAAAAUUCACAUCUUCUUCGGUAAUCAAAGGCCAAAACCGUCUGACUUGAUCUUCUAAACAAUACAGACAUGCCAUUUUAUAAUUUUCUACGUCGGCGAAUUCACCCGAAUUCAAGAUAUUCAACGCGGUCGCUUUGUAACCAAUUGUUCCGAAAGAAUCCAAGACGAUAUGCUCGAUACAUUUGUAAAAUGUUUUUCCGCAUUUAAAAACGCUACCGUGUACGCCUUUCCAUUCCAGAAGUUCUUUGCCAAAAGUGACAAUUUUUUCAUCUAUUUGCGAUCUGAUUCGAGACGGAAUCCGAGCAACGAGUAUUUUUUCACAGCUGAAGAAUGGA
This is a long non-coding RNA of Planococcus citri (citrus mealybug), 551 nucleotides long. RefSeq lists it as uncharacterized. The transcript has 2 exons. The record is from RefSeq and is a predicted model, not a curated record. Lineage: Eukaryota; Metazoa; Arthropoda; Insecta; Hemiptera; Pseudococcidae.